This 253-nucleotide ribosomal RNA is filed under the name uncultured bacterium. Its description in RNAcentral is "partial 16S ribosomal RNA". It matches the Rfam family "Bacterial small subunit ribosomal RNA", at positions 524 to 776 of the family's 1533-position model. The record is from RNAcentral.
UACGUAGGGAGCAAGCGUUGUCCGGAAUCAUUGGGCGUAAAGCGCGCGUAGGUGGCUUCGUAAGUCCGUUGUGAAAGUCAAAGGCUCAACCUUUGAAAGCCGAUGGAUACUGCGGAGCUAGAGUACGGAAGAGGCGAGUGGAAUUCCCGGUGUAGAGGUGAAAUUCGUAGAUAUCGGGAGGAACACCGGUGGCGAAGGCGGCGACCUGGGUAGAUACUGACGCUGAGGUGCGAAAGCGUGGGGAGCAAACGGG